Long non-coding RNA from Cornus florida, 1219 nucleotides. RefSeq lists it as uncharacterized. NCBI's taxonomy places the organism in Eukaryota, Viridiplantae, Streptophyta, Magnoliopsida, Cornales, Cornaceae. The record is from RefSeq and is a predicted model, not a curated record. The transcript is spliced from 2 exons.
GAGAGUCAUUUUCCUUUUGAGAAUUACCAACAGAGCUUUUGACUGAAGUUGAAUUUGUAAUUUUUAAAAUUAUCUUUUUAGUAAAGGUUGAUUAUUUUAGGUAACUUUUUUUUUAUUACACAAUUUCGUCCUUUUUUAUUUUUAUUUUUAUAAAGACAAUUACAUUCAUUCUUUAAUAAAAUUGCUAUUAUCAAAUAUGGUAACAUUCUUUUAAAGGGUACUCCUAUUAUGAUAAAUUUAGCAAUAUAAGUAUAUUUUUAAAAAAAAAAAUUAUUAGCAAAUAAAUUUAAAAAUAUUUAAAUUGUGAAUUUUUUUUAUUACUGUGAAGGCCUUUGUAAUCCAGUGGUUAUGUUGUUUCCCAUUGUACUUGGAAGUAGGGGCGUAACUUAGUGUGGGCUAACCUGAGCUAUAACCUAGGUCCAAAAAAAAAAAAAAAAAAAAAAAUUAGUACUACUAUUUUUUAUCAGUCAUAGUCCAACCCAAUCAGUCAUAGCUUAGCCCAUGCCCAAGCUCAAUCCAGAAUAAAGCAAAAAAACAAAUGGGCCAGCCCAGCAAUGAGCAAACCAAAGUUACAAAGUACAAGCCCAUCUAUCUGAAAACCUAACUAUUAUGGUGUUGGAACAUUCCCAUUUGCCUACCUUCCCAAAAAAAAAAAAAAAAAAAAAAGAUACCCAUCUGGCUCUGGGUCAUCUCUCUGAAAACGCAGGAGCCGCAGGAACAUUCCCAUCUGCCUCUGGGUCAGCUCUAUGAAAAUGCUUCACAGCCUAGCAAACCAACGAUUGAAGCCUCGAAGAUUUGGUCUGAUUGGUACUAUCUGAAGAGCGAGUAUGAAGAGCCGAGGUCUGAGUUUGGAUCUGGGCAUAGGCGGAGGCUGGAGUUCUUGAUCUCUUAGAUUAUGUGGAGGAGUUCGUUGAUGGUGGAGGUGAGCUAAUCGGUGGUGGACUUGCACCAUCAUUAUCAACUUCCACCAUUACCAUCCCUCUCUUCGGCCCGGUUCUCAUCAAUCUCAGUUUCCAAGACCUCGCCGCGGAUAUUAACAAGCGGGAAACCAUCAAAUGAUGAAUUGCCGUUGCUCUUUGUUGCUGUAUAUCAGUAUAUGUGUAUGUAAUGUGUAUAUAAUUGUCUGUGACUAGAUAAAAGGGUGUUUUUGUCUUUUCCAUUCAACUCUAAAUUUUUUAUAAAUAUUAGUAAUAUAUAAUUGAUUAGUAAAAUUGUAAAA